Molecule: ribosomal RNA, 407 nt
Filed under: uncultured bacterium
Lineage: Bacteria
Description: bacterial SSU rRNA
Rfam family: Bacterial small subunit ribosomal RNA
Source: RNAcentral
UGGGGAAUAUUGGGCAAUGGGCGCAAGCCUGACCCAGCAACGCCGCGUGAAGGAAGAAGGCUUUCGGGUUGUAAACUUCUUUUGUCAGGGACGAAGCAAGUGACGGUACCUGACGAAUAAGCCACGGCUAACUACGUGCCAGCAGCCGCGGUAAUACGUAGGUGGCAAGCGUUAUCCGGAUUUAUUGGGUGUAAAGGGCGUGUAGGCGGGAAUGCAAGUCAGAUGUGAAAACUAUGGGCUCAACCCAUAGCCUGCAUUUGAAACUGUAUUUCUUGAGUGCUGGAGAGGCAAUCGGAAUUCCGUGUGUAGCGGUGAAAUGCGUAGAUAUACGGAGGAACACCAGUGGCGAAGGCGGCCUGCUGGACAAUAACUGACGCUGAGGCGCGAAAGCGUGGGGAGCAAGCAGG